This 593-nucleotide ribosomal RNA is filed under the name uncultured bacterium. RNAcentral's name for it is "bacterial SSU rRNA". It matches the Rfam family "Bacterial small subunit ribosomal RNA", at positions 113 to 692 of the family's 1533-position model. The record is from RNAcentral.
ACACGUGGGCAACCUGCCUGUAAGUUGGGGAUAACUCCGGGAAACCGGGGCUAAUACCGAAUGAUAAGAUGUGGCGCAUGCCACGCCUUUGAAAGAUGGUUUCGGCUAUCGCUUACAGAUGGGCCCGCGGUGCAUUAGCUAGUUGGUAGGGUAAUGGCCUACCAAGGCAACGAUGCAUAGCCGACCUGAGAGGGUGAUUGGCCACACUGGGACUGAGACACGGCCCAGACUCCUACGGGAGGCAGCAGUAGGGAAUCUUCCGCAAUGGACGAAAGUCUGACGGAGCAACGCCGCGUGUAUGAAGAAGGUUUUCGGAUCGUAAAGUACUGUUGUUAGAGAAGAACAAGGAUAAGAGUAACUGCUUGUCCCUUGACGGUAUCUCACCAGAAAGCCACGGCUAACUACGUGCCAGCAGCCGCGGUAAUACGUAGGUGGCAAGCGUUGUCCGGAUUUAUUGGGCGUAAAGCGCGCGCAGGCGGUCUUAUAAGUCUGAUGUGAAAGCCCCCGGCUUAACCGGGGAGGGUCAUUGGAAACUGGAAGACUGGAGUGCAGAAGAGGAGAGUGGAAUUCCACGUGUAGCGGUGAAAUGCGUA